Ictidomys tridecemlineatus (thirteen-lined ground squirrel) is the source of this 3016-nucleotide non-coding RNA. The record is from RefSeq and is a predicted model, not a curated record. NCBI's taxonomy places the organism in Eukaryota, Metazoa, Chordata, Mammalia, Rodentia, Sciuridae.
UCAAAAUGAAGAUAACUCCAAGCACAGAAGCUUCACUUAGCACCUAACUGAUGGUCUUUCUAAUAUAGUGAACAUUUAUUUAAGAGCACUUAUAAUUAUUCAUGAUGGAGAACAUAAAGUGAACAAGAGUCUCAAUGAAGCAUAAAAUCUUAAGUGAGAAUAAAGCUCCAGCACAUGGAUACCAAUAAAUAAAGUGAUGUUCACAUCUGGCCCAACAGUUUGAAUCAUCUAGUUCUGUGCCAUAUCUCCAAAGUAUAAAUUGACUUGCUGAAGGCAGAAGAAGAAAAAUGUCCAAGCAUUGAGGAAAAAUAUCCUAACUGUAUUAAUUUAAGAGUCCAAAAAGGACAUGGUUUUCAGCCACACCAUAAGAGGAUGGAAUUUCAUUCGAUCUAAAAGUAGAGAGAGAGCAUUCCAUGCAGAUGGGAUGGUAUGAGCAAAGAUGCUGAAGCAAUGUAUUUUGGAGAACAGUUUGGCUGGAUCAUGGAUUUCACAUAAGAAAGUAGUAGGUAUAAAGAUUAAAGAGACUUUUGGAACCAGAUUGGAAUGAAAAACAUAAGGCAAAUUAUACAUUGUAUGAAGUUCUCACAAUGAUAGACCACAGAAGAGAGUUACAGCUCCGACUCAGUCACAUGACCACAAGGUAUACUGAAUACAACAAUUUCUUCAAUAUGUAAAUUAAUUUGUGACUCAGUUUGCUGGGUGAUGUUCACAUCAUGACUCAAAUGGAUGCAACCACUUAAAAAUGAAUGACUUGGGAGGAUGCCAUGGACUAUAGAGCUAUCUGAUUCUUAGAUGUGGAAAGGAGAAGGAAACACAAAGGAGAAUCAGUCAUCGCUUUUCUGUGUGGCAGACAAAACUCCACGGAACGCCGUCUAGUGGCGGAAUUGUCCAGGGAAGGCAAGUCAGUUUCAUCCUUCCUCGAAUUUUCUUUUUAAUUGGAUUUUUGAAGGUUCUUUACGUCUGUCAGACUGCAAAGGGGACACAGGACAGUCUCUAGAUUUUGUCCGGUAACCUGAGGCCAGCCCAGACUAAGCAAGAACGUUAAACCAUUUUUCUGACUCUAUCCUGAAUCACCUCUUUAGAGACCAAAGGCCAAAAAACCCCACUUCUCUACCAGGUGAAGGUGGAACUCUGCGGAAUCCUUGCCUAAGGCGCAGCGGCCCCCAGGCGGAAAUUUCUCAUUUUUAUAUUUGUUCUCAAGGGAUGGGAAUCUGGUCUGGGUGGGAACUGGCACGGGAACUCCUGUAAAGUAGUGACAUAGCUAAGUAGCCUCCAGACACCUCCCAAAACAAGUUUUAAACUCAGUGCUUACAAAUGGCUCUUCCUUGGAUUUGUUCUAUGGAUCCUUCUCUACCCCACCCCUCAUGAUCCCCCAAAACCAUUCACUCAAGAAAUGUAGUCCAUUCUGUGUUUGCAUUUACCUCCAAGGCCUCUUAGUAAGACCAAAAUUUUUGACACCUGUCGUCAACAGCCUGUCUUACCAUGCUUUAAAAUUACAGCCUACUCUCAUCCAAUACUUCCCACCUUACUUUGUGAAAUUUAAAGAAAUUCUUAACUCCUUAUUUAAAGACCCUACUUUUCCUGUUCGCCUCAUUUCUAACUUCAAAGAGAAUCAGAGACAUAUAUGAAGAAAGUAGGUAUAUUUUCGGUUGGGGGUAUGAGCGCAAUAAAAAGAAACUUGACUCACAGGGAACUAAAUAACUGUAAAUAAAAAGGAAAUCACAAUUCCUGAGAGUGCUAUAAAGCAAAUUCAAGGAGGAAGUUAGAGGUGGUUCCAAAUAAACAUUCUACUCCUUAUCAGUAGGAACAGGCUAAUCUUCCUUAACCCUUAAAAGUAAUUACCUAUAAUAAUUAUUUUCAAACUGUAAACUGCUUUCAAACACCAUAGUUAGCGUUUUACCAGGUUUAUUUUACUUGUAUACACAGACGAUACAAACGAGCAAAAAACAAAACGUUUCUCAAUGGAGUGUGUACUUGUAUAAAUUAUUCAGUUCACAGACAAAACGAAACAAAUAUAAAAAUCACAACAUUUGAUUUACAGAAGAGCCAAAAUAUACACACGUUUAGACCCUGAAUUCCUAUUAGGAAAAAAUCCCCCCAUGGACUGGAAUCUAGAUUGAAUAUUGUGUAUGAUGCAUAUUUCACAUUAAUUUUAAAAUACAAAAAAAGUAUAGGUUUGCUACACAACAUUAGAAAUCUUACUAAUCUAUUUCCAGGGGGAUUAAUGUUCCUUAUCAAAUAUGACAAGACUUAGAGGGGGGAAAUCAGUCUUAUUUGCAUUAUGCUAGUGUUUUCCCAAGGAAGUCAAAUUUCAGCUGUUUCUAAGUGGCAGGGGGAAUCAUUUUCAAAACUAAAAUGCAGUAAAAUAUACAACUCACACAAUUCAUCUUCACUAGACUACACUAUAGUUACCAACAAUUCAGUCAUCUAUAUCAUUAGUAGAGUAUUCAUUACAAAGAUUUACAGCAUAUAAAGGUGGAGGGGGCUGAAAAGAUAUUCAAAAACAGUUUGUCAGCAUAUUUGGCACCUGCACAGACCAGUAAUGGAUUUGGCACUUUGGGGAAAACAAAUAAGGCAAAAUAAUAUUGCUGAUGUCGAGCUAUUCUAUUUAGAAGGAAGGGAGGAAAACACAACUCCAGUUAACUUUGCUUUGCAGGCAUCAUGCCACUUAAUCUACUUGCCUAUGAACAGACACCUAUCCUUUACAGGUGUUUGGGCAGAUUCUCCUUAGCUAUUUGUGUGCAUUAGGGCACAUAGUAAUUAUUUCAUGCAACGAAUUGAGGAGAAGUGAGAAACCCAUGACUAUCAAGUAUUUCAUUGUUUCCAGAGCCUCUUAGAAUGUUUUUAAUUAUCUCACAAGAAAAUAGAGAAGAGAGAAAGGAAGAAUGAGAGAAGAAAAGGAAAAGGAAGGAAACGGAAAUAAAAAGGUUAAGCAUGAACUGGUUUUGUGCCUUGACGAUGAGAAUAAAAACUAGCCAUUCGUUACAAUAAAUUAACACUAUGUACAAUCAUUUCA